RNAcentral lists this ribosomal RNA (254 nucleotides) under uncultured bacterium. RNAcentral describes it as "partial 16S ribosomal RNA". It matches the Rfam family "Bacterial small subunit ribosomal RNA", at positions 524 to 776 of the family's 1533-position model. The record is from RNAcentral.
GACGAACCGUGCAAACGUUAUUCGGAAUCACUGGGCUUAAAGCGCGUGUAGGCGGGACGGCACGUCGGUCGCUGAAAGCCCCCGGCUCAACCGGGGAAUGGGCGCCGAUACGACCGUCCUGGAGGAACGUAGGGGGACCUGGAACUUCCGGUGGAGCGGUGAAAUGCGUUGAGAUCGGAAGGAACGCCCGUGGCGAAAGCGGUUCUCUGGGACGGUACUGACGCUGAGACGCGAAAGCGUGGGGAGCGAACAGG